AAUUCUCAACCUUAUUAGCUUUUGUUGAUAAUGGAUUGGAUGUGGGGGUUUCUUUUGCUGGCUUCUUCACAGAUAUCAGCUCCCCUUAAAUGCAUUAGCUGGUGCCCCGCGUGGACCAUCUAUUGGUGUGAUAAUUAUCUACGCCGUGGAUGUCUGCAAUCAUAUGGGUUUUGCACUGCUUCUAACCGUCUGUUCAUUCGGACAAUACAUGACA
This 214-nucleotide unclassified non-coding RNA is filed under the name uncultured Alnicola. Its description in RNAcentral is "sequence contains ITS2". The record is from RNAcentral. Lineage: Eukaryota; Fungi; Basidiomycota; Agaricomycetes; Agaricales; Cortinariaceae.